RNAcentral lists this transfer RNA (77 nucleotides) under archaeon. Its description in RNAcentral is "tRNA-Lys". It matches the Rfam family "tRNA". Rfam says of the family: Transfer RNA (tRNA) molecules are approximately 80 nucleotides in length. Their secondary structure includes four short double-helical elements and three loops (D, anti-codon, and T loops). The record is from RNAcentral. RNAcentral also lists the same sequence under 2 other names.
GGGCCUGUAGCUCAGCAAGGUAGAGCAUCGGCCUUUUAAGCCGUUGGCCAAGGGUUCGAAUCCCUUCAGGCCCGCCA